ACAGGACUAAUUUUUGGCCCAACCAUUUAUUCAAAAGUAAUACGUAAAUAAGUAGGAAAAAGGUGUGACCGAGCCCUGGCUUUGGGCAUCCUACAUAUCUCGGGUUAUAAGAGAUCAGGUCACGUGUAAUUCAAAUGGGUGUAAGAGUGGAAUGAAUGGACGAGUUGGAGAGUCGAGUUGAGGUCCCGUCGAGUUUCCGGUUCGUGGCUCUUUUUAUUACAUCAAAAAGUAAAACUGGAAAUAAAAGUAUAAGAUCCUGUCUAUUCUAUUUGUCUUGAUCUUCUUGCUUCCGAUCUUCCUCUUGGAUCUUCAGUUAUUGCCUCACCUUCUUCUGGUGGGUACCUUGAUCUCAAAAUUUGAUCUUACAAUUAAUAUUUGAGACUUGAACUUGAAACUUGGAUUGAGUCAUUGAUACUCUACCAAAGAAACAGUCCAUAGAAUGCUUUGGAUGUUUGUUCUCCUGAUCAGAAGCCAAGAGAUGUCGCCUGAGAUAUUGGGCCGCUAUGGAUGCAAAGCUAGCUCUAACUAUCUUCAAACUGACCAUNN
This 546-nucleotide long non-coding RNA is filed under the name Capsicum annuum. Its description in RNAcentral is "long non-coding RNA (CANN_LNC016126)". Lineage: Eukaryota; Viridiplantae; Streptophyta; Magnoliopsida; Solanales; Solanaceae. The record is from RNAcentral.